UGAGGACAAAGGAUGAAUCUCAUAAUCAAAUGGGUAAUUUGCGUCUGAAAUUUUCAUUGAUGCUACAUCACCUUGGAGAACUGAUGUCCCUU
RNAcentral lists this small nucleolar RNA (92 nucleotides) under Olea europaea subsp. europaea. The record is from RNAcentral. Lineage: Eukaryota; Viridiplantae; Streptophyta; Magnoliopsida; Lamiales; Oleaceae.